Molecule: long non-coding RNA, 679 nt
Filed under: Numida meleagris (helmeted guineafowl)
Lineage: Eukaryota; Metazoa; Chordata; Aves; Galliformes; Numididae
Description: lncRNA (ENSNMEG00000009945.1)
Source: RNAcentral
UGCCAUUCAUUCCAACAGGAGUGGGGUUGUGUUAUCUAUCUGGGAGCCCGUGGAGGGCUCCUUAGGAAGAAUUCAUCCCUGCACACCGUGUUUAUCCAUAACGUAGCACAAGUGCUGUGUUCCCCUCCCCAGGUCUGUGCUGAGGGCAGAGGCUGUGCCAGCACGGCACUCUGGUUCUGGCUCUCUGCAUGCUGCCAAAGCCAUCUAGGUUGCCCCUGUGACACCAACAAGCGAGGCGGAUGCUGACAAAUUCCUCUCUCAAUUUUUAGUUGCUUUGGCUUCACUAUGGGGAAGCAGUUGUGUGCCUCUCCCCAGGCCAAGGGGAGCAGUGCUGCAGGCUGAGAGCCACAGGGGUUGGGGCAACGAGGGGCUGUCCUAAGCACACGUGCAGUAAGUGCUUCUACAUCCCGGUUAGAAAAGAAGACGAAACCGAAGUUAAAAAUAAACCCCAUCUGAUCUGCAGCACUUCUGUCUUCCCUCGAUGAGCGGUUCCAGCACCAGCUUGGCGAGGAGGGACCCGCAGACAGAUCGGGGAACUGACGAGCAGAGGAGCGGAAGGGAAGGGCUGACGGGAGCUUCACGCAGAGCUCAGGGGCAGAGAACAGAGCCCGCUCCCCCCGCCGGCAGGGCUGCUUUCCAUCACUGCCGUCAUUCUGCACACCAACGUGGGAAGGAGUGA